GCUUGCUACCUGACCUAGCGGCGGACGGGUGAGUAAUGCGUAGGAAUCUGCCUAUUAGUGGGGGACAACAUUCCGAAAGGAAUGCUAAUACCGCAUACGCCCUACGGGGGAAAGCAGGGGAUCUUCGGACCUUGCGCUAAUAGAUGAGCCUAAGUCAGAUUAGCUAGUUGGUGGGGUAAAGGCCUACCAAGGCGACGAUCUGUAGCGGGUCUGAGAGGAUGAUCCGCCACACUGGGACUGAGACACGGCCCAGACUCCUACGGGAGGCAGCAGUGGGGAAUAUUGGACAAUGGGCGAAAGCCUGAUCCAGCCAUGCCGCGUGUGUGAAGAAGGCCUUUUGGUUGUAAAGCACUUUAAGCGAGGAGGAGGCUACUUGGAUUAAUACUCUAGGAUAGUGGACGUUACUCGCAGAAUAAGCACCGGCUAACUCUGUGCCAGCAGCCGCGGUAAUACAGAGGGUGCGAGCGUUAAUCGGAUUUACUGGGCGUAAAGCGUGCGUAGGCGGCUUUUUAAGUCGGAUGUGAAAUCCCUGAGCUUAACUUAGGAAUUGCAUUCGAUACUGGGAAGCUAGAGUAUGGGAGAGGAUGGUAGAAUUCCAGGUGUAGCGGUGAAAUGCGUAGAGAUCUGGAGGAAUACCGAUGGCGAAGGCAGCCAUCUGGCCUAAUACUGACGCUGAGGUACGAAAGCAUGGGGGGCAAACAGGAUUAGAUACCCUGGUAGUCCAUGCCGUAAACGAUGUCUACUAGCCGUUGGGGCCUUUGAGGCUUUAGUGGCGCAGCUAACGCGAUAAGUAGACCGCCUGGGGAGUACGGUCGCAAGACUAAAACUCAAAUGAAUUGACGGGGGCCCGCACAAGCGGUGGAGCAUGUGGUUUAAUUCGAUGCAACGCGAAGAACCUUACCUGGUCUUGACAUAGUAAGAACUUUCCAGAGAUGGAUUGGUGCCUUCGGGAACUUACAUACAGGUGCUGCAUGGCUGUCGUCAGCUCGUGUCGUGAGAUGUUGGGUUAAGUCCCGCAACGAGCGCAACCCUUUUCCUUAUUUGCCAGCGGGUUAAGCCGGGAACUUUAAGGAUACUGCCAGUGACAAACUGGAGGAAGGCGGGGACGACGUCAAGUCAUCAUGGCCCUUACGACCAGGGCUACACACGUGCUACAAUGGUCGGUACAAAGGGUUGCUACCUAGCGAUAGGAUGCUAAUCUCAAAAAGCCGAUCGUAGUCCGGAUUGGAGUCUGCAACUCGACUCCAUGAAGUCG
This 1255-nucleotide ribosomal RNA is filed under the name uncultured Acinetobacter sp. RNAcentral's name for it is "bacterial SSU rRNA". It matches the Rfam family "Bacterial small subunit ribosomal RNA", at positions 78 to 1328 of the family's 1533-position model. Lineage: Bacteria; Pseudomonadati; Pseudomonadota; Gammaproteobacteria; Moraxellales; Moraxellaceae. The record is from RNAcentral.